Molecule: ribosomal RNA, 571 nt
Filed under: Rhizogeton nudus
Lineage: Eukaryota; Metazoa; Cnidaria; Hydrozoa; Anthoathecata; Clavidae
Description: partial 16S ribosomal RNA
Rfam family: Bacterial large subunit ribosomal RNA
Source: RNAcentral
CCCUGUACUUAUCAGAGGUGUGACCUGCUCAGUGAUCUAUAAUCCUAUUAGAUAACCUCUAAUUAAUUAGAUUUAAAAGACGCACUAUUCUGAGUGUGAUAAUGUAGCACAAUCACUUGCCAUUUAAUUGGUGGAUGGUAUGAAAGGUUAAACGAGCGUUCCCUUGUUUUUAAUGUAAUUCAAUAUAAAUUCAGAACCCCGUCAAGACGCGGUGAAAAACUGUAAGACGAAAAGACCCUAUAGAGCUUCACUAUACACUCUUUUAUAGUAUAAGUAAGAUAGUGUGGUAGUUUGGUUGGGGCGACCGCCUUUUAAAAAAAACAAAGGCCAGCAAAAUUAACCUUAUAAUUUACUGUAUAAUAUAUUUAUUUACCAGUUACUAAUGUAGGCGAUAAUGACCCAUUUUAUAAAAGCAAAUAAAAUGUUCAAGAAAUAAAAGCUACCUUAGGGAUAACAGGGUAAUUUUAUAGAGGAGAUCUUAUCCUUGAUAAAGUUUGCCACCUCGAUGUUGAAUUAAGGUAUCCUUGCGAUGCAGAAGUCGCAAAAGGUAGGUCUGUUCGACCUUUAAAAC